Long non-coding RNA from Myotis daubentonii (Daubenton's bat), 606 nucleotides. RefSeq lists it as uncharacterized. The record is from RefSeq and is a predicted model, not a curated record. Lineage: Eukaryota; Metazoa; Chordata; Mammalia; Chiroptera; Vespertilionidae.
GGGGCGCGGGCGGAAGGGGGCGCAGACGCCGCGUUGGGGGCCGUGGGGCCUCCGGAGGAAACACCUUUGACAAAUUUCCAAGAACUUUCCAGGAAAAGGAGGCGGGGCCCCGAGCGCCGACCUAUCGUGGCGCAGGGGGCGGAGUCGAGUGACGGAGGCUGACGCGCUUUGCGGGCUUGAACUUGACCCGGAGACGAGCUGGGAAAGACCCGAUUUGGAGGAGGCCGGGGAGGGGCCGCGCCUACCCGCCCGAGGCGCCUUCCUUCGUGCGCUUCACUUCGCUGGGGACAGGCGCCUUGUUUCUUUGUAGAUGGCAGCGCGUGGGCGGGGUCCCAGGCCUCCUAGGCCGUCCGCCUGGUGUGCAAGCGCCUCUUGGACCCCGGACUCUGUGUGUGGGGUGGUUUGGGGAGUCUGCUGGACUCACCAAGGAGCCUUUUGAAAGACCAUAGGGCUGUGCACACCUCCUCCAAGCCCUUCGGCCAGAAGGAGGAUGAGGAGACAGGCACAGAGGGUUACCACGCACCCUGGACCUCACAGCUAGCAGGUGGUGCCCAGGGUCCUGCCCUCUCCCCACUUCCUCUCCUGGUGCCGGAAAGCGCCCCCUAC